This 501-nucleotide long non-coding RNA is filed under the name Struthio camelus australis. Its description in RNAcentral is "lncRNA (ENSSCUG00000006339.1)". Lineage: Eukaryota; Metazoa; Chordata; Aves; Struthioniformes; Struthionidae. The record is from RNAcentral.
GGAACAAAUCACCUAUUCGUGAAAUAAAGUAAUUUUGAAGCAGACAAGGGAAUCUGUGAACUCAGGCUAAGUUUUUGCUGGAUCGUGGGAAGACUGACUUGGAACUAAAGUUUCCCCCAUCGCUGGAGAGUGUCCUCACCCUCUCAAUUAUAAAAUAAUCUUUUCUUUGGUGCAGAAAGCAUUUACACAUCUUGUGUAAAGCUUCAUUUCAUGUCAGGAGAGACUUGGAGGAUCCACCCAAGAAUGUUCCUGAGGCUGGUCGUCAGAAUAUGUUUUCUUGGAGGGAAGUAUGAAUUCAGAUCCCCUGAAGAAGAGAAAAGAGUUGAUCUCCUGCACUCCAAGCUUGGCUGUUGGCCUCACUUUGCUAAGUGAGGGUUUCAACAAGUGGAGAAGAUGGAUGGCCAGACCAAUCAACUACAAAAUAUGUAAAAGCCACUGGACAAUACCAUAUUUCUGUCUACCUGAAUGGAGCCAGCUUUCGUCCACACCACUCCAAAUGAG